This 497-nucleotide ribosomal RNA is filed under the name uncultured bacterium. RNAcentral's name for it is "partial 16S ribosomal RNA". It matches the Rfam family "Bacterial small subunit ribosomal RNA", at positions 28 to 507 of the family's 1533-position model. The record is from RNAcentral.
GAUGAACGCUGGCGGCGUGCCUAAUACAUGUAAGUCGAGCGAACGGACGAGAAUCUUGCUUCUCUUAUGUUAGCGGCGGACGGGGUAGUAACACGUGAUUAACCUACCUAUAAGACUGUGGUAACUUCUGGAAACCGGAGCUAAUACCGGUUAAUCAUUUUAACCGCAUGGUUCAAAAGUGAAACACGGUCUUGCUUUUACUUAUUAGUGACUCCUCGCUGCAUUAGCUAGUUGGUAAGGUAACGGCUUACCAAGGCAACGAUGCAUAGCCGACCUGAGAGGGUGAGCGGCCACACUGGAAAUGAGACACGAUCCAGACUCCUACGGGAGGCAGCAGUAGGGCAUCUUGCGCAAUGGGCGAACGCCUGACGGAGCAACGCCGCGUGAGUGCUGAAGGUCUUCGGAUCGUAAAACUCUGUUAUUAGGGAAGAACAUAUGUGUAAGUAACUGUGCACAUCUUGACGGUACCUAAUCAGAAAGCCACGGCUAACUACGUG